RNAcentral lists this small RNA (78 nucleotides) under Sphingomonas sp. Ant20. RNAcentral describes it as "Makes More Granules Regulator RNA (mmgR)". It matches the Rfam family "Makes More Granules Regulator RNA (mmgR)". Rfam says of the family: SuhB later renamed mmgR (makes more granules regulator) was a putative non-coding RNA found multiple times in the Agrobacterium tumefaciens genome and related alpha-proteobacteria. Lineage: Bacteria; Pseudomonadati; Pseudomonadota; Alphaproteobacteria; Sphingomonadales; Sphingomonadaceae. The record is from Rfam by way of RNAcentral.
AGACCUCGCCUUUCAGGCAUCCUCUCCUAAAAACUUCAUGGGCUGGCCUUCAUUGGCCGGCCCUUUUUUUUGUCUUUU